This is a long non-coding RNA of Tripterygium wilfordii, 638 nucleotides long. RefSeq lists it as uncharacterized. NCBI's taxonomy places the organism in Eukaryota, Viridiplantae, Streptophyta, Magnoliopsida, Celastrales, Celastraceae. The record is from RefSeq and is a predicted model, not a curated record. The transcript is spliced from 2 exons.
GGAGAUCGCUAUCAAAACUCCGCGACAAGAACUCCAAGACUCUCUUGUAUUGGUACUUUCAAGCACAAGAUGGAGCAGCUCAGAAGCCACUGUGGCUCAAUGGAUAUGAAGACCACGAAGCAUGUGCACGCAGUUGGCUUGCAUUGGGUUUCGUAGUUUUUGCUGAGAUAAAAAUUUGACAUAGAGGCAAAGAGAUUUCUAGUUGCUUCGAUUGCUUUGGGUCCGAGAGAUUGUGAAUAUUAGGGCUCAAGGUCUUGGAUUAUAAAGGGUAGUGAUCGACUUUAGUAAAUAACAGAUUACCAAUGGAAUACCGCCACGAUGAAAGGGAGAGAGGCAGAGAUAACACGGGGAAAAGGUAGACAAACAAAGCAUUUUCAUCAUCGUUUGCCAAUUACAGAAACAGAGAGAAAGAAAGCAUUUUCAUCAUCGUUUUCAUGAAUUUGGCACUGCCAACUGUAGAGCACGAUACCUUCUGGAUUAAAUGUUUUACAGGUUCUCUUAGCAAUUCUAGAUGAAAGAUCAUGAGCAUGGUUACUUACUUUUUUCUUCUUCAAGACAUUUUCUGUGUUAAAGGUUCUCUUAGCAAUUCUAGAUGAAAGAUCAUGAGCAUGGUUACUUACGUUUUCUUCUUCAAGACA